AGCAGCCGCGGUAAUUCCAGCUCCAAUAGCGUAUAUUAAAGUUGUUGCAGUUAAAAAGCUCGUAGUUGAAUUUCGGGAUCAAUAUAUCGGUCGUGCCUUGGUACGUACUGGUAUCAUUGGUUUCUCCUUCCUGACGAACCAUGAUGUCAUUAAUUUGGUGUUAUGGGAAGUUAGGACUGUUACUUUGAAAAAUUAGAGUGUUUAAAGCAGGCUUUGGCUUGAAUACAUUAGCAUGGAAUAAUGAAAUAGGACGUUCGAACCUAUUUUGUUGGUUUCUAGGAUCAACGUAAUGAUUAAUAGGGAUAGUUGGGGGCAUUAGUAUUCAAUUGUCAGAGGUGAAAUUCUUGGAUUUAUUGAAGACUAACUACUGCGAAAGCAUUUGCCAAGGAUGUUUUCAUUAAUCAAGAACGAAAGUUAGGGGAUCGAAGACGAUCAGAUACCGUCGUAGUCUUAACCAUAAACUAUGCCGACUAGGGAUCGGAUGAUGUUAAUUUUUAAUGACUCAUUCGGCGCCUUACGG
Molecule: ribosomal RNA, 520 nt
Filed under: uncultured Glomus
Lineage: Eukaryota; Fungi; Glomeromycota; Glomeromycetes; Glomerales; Glomeraceae
Description: SSU rRNA
Rfam family: Eukaryotic small subunit ribosomal RNA
Source: RNAcentral